RNAcentral lists this unclassified non-coding RNA (200 nucleotides) under soil metagenome. Its description in RNAcentral is "partial contains internal transcribed spacer 2 and large subunit ribosomal RNA". The record is from RNAcentral.
GAGCGUCAUUGCACCUCUCAAGCGUAGCUUGGUCUUGGGUUGUCGUCAUCGAAGACGUGCCCGAAAGCGAGUGGCGGUCAAACGUUGACUUCAAGCGCAGUAAAUUUAUCACGCUUUGGAAGUUCAUUUUUGGCUUGUCAAAAUCCUUCACACUUCAAUGAAUUGACCUCGGAUCAGGUAGGGAUACCCGCUGAACUUAA